GGGGUUGUGGCUCAGUGGUAGAGCACCUGCCUCGCAGGUGUGAGGCACUAAGUUCGAUCCUCAGCCCCA
RNAcentral lists this transfer RNA (69 nucleotides) under Ictidomys tridecemlineatus (thirteen-lined ground squirrel). RNAcentral describes it as "Spermophilus tridecemlineatus (thirteen-lined ground squirrel) tRNA". It matches the Rfam family "tRNA". From Rfam's summary of the family: Transfer RNA (tRNA) molecules are approximately 80 nucleotides in length. Their secondary structure includes four short double-helical elements and three loops (D, anti-codon, and T loops). The record is from Rfam by way of RNAcentral. Lineage: Eukaryota; Metazoa; Chordata; Mammalia; Rodentia; Sciuridae.